GACCGAGCAACGCCGCGUGAGUGAAGAAGGUUUUCGGAUCGUAAAACUCUGUUGUUAGAGAAGAACAAGGAUGAGAGUAACUGUUCAUCCCUUGACGGUAUCUAACCAGAAAGCCACGGCUAACUACGUGCCAGCAGCCGCGGUAAUACGUAGGUGGCAAGCGUUGUCCGGAUUUAUUGGGCGUAAAGCGAGCGCAGGCGGUUUCUUAAGUCUGAUGUGAAAGCCCCCGGCUCAACCGGGGAGGGUCAUUGGAAACUGGGAGACUUGAGUGCAGAAGAGGAGAGUGGAAUUCCAUGUGUAGCGGUGAAAUGCGUAGAUAUAUGGAGGAACACCAGUGGCGAAGGCGGCUCUCUGGUCUGUAACUGACGCUGAGGCUCGAAAGCGUGGGGAGCAAACAGGAUUAGAUACCCUGGUAGUCCACGCCGUAAACGAUGAGUGCUAAGUGUUGGAGGGUUUCCGCCCUUCAGUGCUGCAGCUAACGCAUUAAGCACUCCGCCUGGGGAGUACGACCGCAAGGUUGAAACUCAAAGGAAUUGACGGGGGCCCGCACAAGCGGUGGAGCAUGUGGUUUAAUUCGAAGCAACGCGAAGAACCUUACCAGGUCUUGACAUCCUUUGACCACUCUAGAGAUAGAGCUUCCCCUUCGGGGGCAAAGUGACAGGUGGUGCAUGGUUGUCGUCAGCUCGUGUCGUGAGAUGUUGGGUUAAGUCCCGCAACGAGCGCAACCCUUAUUGUUAGUUGCCAUCAUUCAGUUGGGCACUCUAGCAAGACUGCCGGUGACAAACCGGAGGAAGGUGGGGAUGACGUCAAAUCAUCAUGCCCCUUAUGACCUGGGCUACACACGUGCUACAAUGGGAAGUACAACGAGUUGCGAAGUCGCGAGGCUAAGCUAAUCUCUUAAAGCUUCUCUCAGUUCGGAUUGCAGGCUGCCAACUCGCCUGGCAUGAAGCCGGGAAUCGCUAGUAAUCGCGGAUCAGCACCGCCCGCGGGUGAAUACGCUUCUCCCGGGUCCUUGGUACACCACCGGCCCCGGUCACAACCCACG
Molecule: ribosomal RNA, 1045 nt
Filed under: bacterium
Lineage: Bacteria
Description: bacterial SSU rRNA
Rfam family: Bacterial small subunit ribosomal RNA
Source: RNAcentral